This 443-nucleotide ribosomal RNA is filed under the name uncultured bacterium. RNAcentral describes it as "bacterial SSU rRNA". It matches the Rfam family "Bacterial small subunit ribosomal RNA", at positions 958 to 1400 of the family's 1533-position model. The record is from RNAcentral.
AACGCGAAGAACCUUACCUGGGCUCGAACGGCUCACGAACGUCCUUGGAAACAGGGAUUUCCCGCAAGGGACGGGAGUCGAGGUGCUGCAUGGCUGUCGUCAGCUCGUGUCGUGAGAUGUUGGGUUAAGUCCCGCAACGAGCGCAACCCUUGUCCUGUGUUGCCAUCAUUCAGUUGGGAACUCGCAGGAGACCGCCAGCGAUAAGCUGGAGGAAGGUGGGGAUGACGUCAAGUCCUCAUGGCCUUUAUGUCCAGGGCUACACACGUGCUACAAUGGCCGGUACAAUGCGCUGCUAAGUCGCAAGACGGAGCCAAUCGCAAAAAACCGGUCUCAGUUCGGAUUGCAGGCUGCAACUCGCCUGCAUGAAGCUGGAAUCGCUAGUAAUGGCAUAUCAGAACGAUGCCGUGAAUACGUUCCCGGGCCUUGUACACACCGCACUACUA